UUCUGCUGCUGCGGUAUGUUGCAAACUCCUGUUUCGGACACUUCUUCGAGUAUGUCUACUGACCGUGUUGGAGACCGGGAAGUGGAUGUGUUCGAGAGGUUAAUGCGUUCAUCGCUGAAAGAUGUAUGUAUUGACAGAGAAGGCGACAUUCAUGGAUUUUGCGAGACAGAAGAGGAUGUUGUCCAUCUUCUGAGCAACUUGCGCGUCAAUGGCUACGCAUACUCAGUUAGAAGAAGUGCUGCUAAACACAAGACAGGCUUCUUCUACAGCCACACAAAAGGAAACAUACCAAUAGAGUUUUUUGGCCCUGUUUCCUGUGUUGAAAGCUUAGUGAAAAGAGAAUGUAGUCUUGGCCCGUUAUAUCAUAAAAAGGAGACUCCUGUUGCAGAUCAUCUGGUGGACCAUGUUAACCCAAAGAAGAGAAAAGUUCUCAUGGACACACAAAAGAAAGGCUGUCCAGCAACAUUGGAUGUUAAGUGUGUCAGGAUAUUCCCCCGUUAUGCGAUAAACUCGGCAACAGACAGUUAAAAAAAAAGUACUCUGUGUUCUUGUGCCACAUUUAAUAGCAGCAUUCAGAUCAGCUUUUUUGGUUCUUUUGUAUUGCAUGGGAGCAAUGGACAAGCCACAAGCAAAAUUUACAAAAGAGUUGCAGUUGCAGAUCACCUUGGCAACAUCAAGGUGACACAGCUGUCUUCUCCCAGCAGCGAGAGGCAAUGUUGUGAUCAUUCCUCUGAACCUCCUUCUCUCGUGGAAAGUGUAAUUGAUACACAAUGCAUACCCAGGUGCGGUAGUCCCUACCGUUACAAAUAAGGUUGCAGUGGCACAUUACCUGGUUGUGUAUCAUCAAGUCAAGACCGUAUCAGUCCAAGGAAAAAUAUAAUGAACACAAAUGAGUGCUCAGCUACAGUUUCAGACAAAUGGCUGAAUUUUCCAGGUUUUCUGUACAGUGAACAAAUUACCACAUGGAGACAAAAGUUGCUGCAGAAGUGGCCUUGGUGUUCAAGUAAGACAGAAAGGCAAAUUUCAGAUUUUUUUUUUUUUUUUUUAUUACAUCAUCCUCAGGAUAAGCUGUACCUAGUGCACACAUUCUCAAAGUCUGUUAAUGUUUAUAGUGCUGUAGGUCAGGUUUAUAACCAGCCUAGCUAACUGCCUUUCAUCUUGUUCCUCUGAUGAAGUUGAGUUUCUGGGAUUGGCACUGCCUUGGUUUACUGCCGCCUCACUGCUGGUAUCCUCUGAACUUUAUAAUACAGGACUGGCAGGUUCAGACCAACUGCUGCUUGAGCCAAACCCAAAGGUCCCAUCGAGACAAAUGAAAGGGCUGUUCUUGUAACUGUCAUUCAACUUAUGAAAGUCCCAGCCAGGGUAAUAAAUGAAAAUUGCGCAGAAAUGUUUGCAUGGAAGUAUUCACAUGUGCAAUUAGGCUUUGCAGAAUUCACCGCAUAGUAACAAUCCUUGGCCUCAGCACAUUCUACACAAAAUAAUCCCUCACCCAUUUAUUUCACUGAGCUUUCAGUAAGUCCAGUUUGCGCUGAAGAAUAUCUUUUCAUUACGUGAUUCACAAAUUCGUGUGGCUUGUUAUGCAAGAAGUGAGGAAUCUCUCUGCUGUAAGAUUUCACAGCUGAAUUCUUCAGACAAUAUUUUUUAAACAGGCUAGGGAGGAAAUCAUUUAUUAAAACUUUAACAACACCUGUCAAUGUUAUACCUGCUGUGAAUGUCUAAGAAAAAAUGUUUCACUCUUUUAUUUAGUGAUUCAACACCAUUAGUAGUAGUUAUAUUGGCGAAGAAAUUCUCCUUGUCCUCAUAGGCCUUCACCCACCUUUCAGACACUGAAAGCCAUUGCUUAUUAAAAUAAAGUGCACCAGAAUUUCUAGUUAAUAAUUCAUGAGAUUGAAGGUUUGCUCACUAUAUCCCGGUACAUCUAAAUUGUUCUUUUUGCUAAGCCACCAUUGCCAGGCUUGCUUUCGAUGAAAUAAACAAAGAUAAACCCUUGACAUUGGAAAUGUUCCUUUAAUUGCCCAUAUCUCAGGCUCAGAGAAAUCUGUAACCCAUAAAACUGGAUUCCAAUCUGGGUUCCAUGCCUUGAAAAUUUCUAGAGCCUCUUUAAUUGAAGCAGUGUUUUCUACUUGAAUGAAGAAUAUCCCACCUACUAAAUAGCAUACAUUAGCUCUCACUACCAAGAAAAAUAAUGGAAUGUCAUACUUCGUUGUCUUGUAUGUUGCAUCAGGCAAACAUACCCUAAACCCUACCAUACCUUUUCAAAAGUUCCCUUUGCCACUUGUGCUGGUAACAAAAAAGCAAUGGCUGUACUUUUCCAUUGUCAUCUGUAAACGGUCUGAAAAAAAAUCUCUCAGCCUUCGAUUCUGUUUCCCACCCAUUAAUUUGAUUCCUUAAUGCAUCUUGGUCAAUAACAGUUUUCUUCAAAUCAAACAGAGCCCGAUACAUAUGGCUAUAAAUUGUACUAUCUGUUGGGUGUAACAUUACGUUCAUCCGAUUUGGUCUGUUCCAACAACGCUAAAGUGCACAAACCCCGAAAGUGUUAACGAACAAACUUUACUUAGGUUUUAUUUGCAGCAAGUGUGUUUCUGUAUUGCAUCCUGGUCACUCACUGAUUUCCUUACAACAAAUAAGCUCUGAGCACAUGGGUGUAUGUUGUUUAAUCUGUGUGGUAAAACAAUAUUUGAGUAAAGGUUUUUCAUUUAUGAAACAGUAUCAACUCAAAAAACUUAUGUACACUGCUCAUAAUUUGUUGUGUAGUCAGAAUACACAUGUUGGAAUGAAUAAAUUCAAUUAUGUAAUUAUCAUUUCCUUUGGCAAUGAAUCAUAUGAGCUAAACGUGACAUUAGAGGGAAUAGCAAUUUUCAAAUCAUAUUUUUCAGUGCAUACUCUUGUGUGUGUGCAUUGUUCCUUUAAGCUUACACACAAUCUGUUGUUCAAAAUGACUAGUUGUUAGUGUUUUUAAAAUGUGUAUACUAUUGUACAUGUCAGCGUAUUUUAUGUUUUGCAUUUAUGUAAGCACAAAUGGACUAUGUAUGUGUAUUGGACAUAUGAAGAAAUGUCAUUGUGUAAUUAUCCUUUUUGAGUGAAAACUAAACUCCAUGUAUUUC
Molecule: long non-coding RNA, 3104 nt
Organism: Schistocerca piceifrons (Central American locust)
Lineage: Eukaryota; Metazoa; Arthropoda; Insecta; Orthoptera; Acrididae
Exons: 7
Source: RefSeq, a predicted model, not a curated record